UGAAGACCUUCAGGAUGGAGGUGCCCUUCUCAGACCCGGUGGUCUUUAAGGAGAGAAGGGCGGAACAAGGUGUCACAACCUUCACUCUUCAGCUGAUCUACGGCCUGGUCAUCUUUCCAGAGUACGCUCCUUUCUCUCACUCUGCCGUUGUGGACGCUGUACUGCUGGACAUUGUGCCACCCUCAGUCACUGGCAACUGUGAUCAGGAGAACUUCCACAUCACU
Oncorhynchus kisutch (coho salmon) is the source of this 224-nucleotide long non-coding RNA. RefSeq lists it as uncharacterized. The record is from RefSeq and is a predicted model, not a curated record. The transcript is spliced from 3 exons. Lineage: Eukaryota; Metazoa; Chordata; Actinopteri; Salmoniformes; Salmonidae.